Long non-coding RNA from Tarenaya hassleriana, 280 nucleotides. RefSeq lists it as uncharacterized. The record is from RefSeq and is a predicted model, not a curated record. The transcript is spliced from 3 exons. NCBI's taxonomy places the organism in Eukaryota, Viridiplantae, Streptophyta, Magnoliopsida, Brassicales, Cleomaceae.
AUGAUAAUUCUUCUUUGAUAUCUGGAUCAAACGCGUCUGGAAUUGGAUUCCCGGAUUGGUAAUGCCUCCACGACCAGUCCGCCAGAGAGAAUCUGAAAAACGGGUUUCGGAUUCAAGAACUGAUUUCUGGCCAUAAUGUAGUUUACCUGGAGCUAUGUAGCCAAAGGAUCCGGCAACAGCGGACAUGGAGAACAAUCAUGAUGCAUAUAACAAAGUCCCCGAGCUGCUCCAAUGGCGAUGCGUGACCGAGUUGGCCAAUCCAAGCAAGUAUCUGCACCUC